RNAcentral lists this ribosomal RNA (463 nucleotides) under Triticum aestivum (bread wheat). Its description in RNAcentral is "partial small subunit ribosomal RNA". Lineage: Eukaryota; Viridiplantae; Streptophyta; Magnoliopsida; Poales; Poaceae. The record is from RNAcentral.
GAUGGAGGAUUUAAACUUUGCUGUAGUUUUUCCUGGAGCUAAUGAAAGUUUCUCGCGUCGAGUCCAAACUAAGAGUUUUUUGCUUUCAGAAUUGCAUUCUCAACACAGGUCCAUUGUCUUCCUCCACCAGUUAAUUUACUUGGGUUAUCUCACUUUCUCCAUAACCUGCAGUUGUAAUGCGAUGUCUUGCGUUUUGUCAGGCAGAUGAGCUAAGAACUAACUUACCCACCAUAAAUGAUGCAACAAAAGAGGUACAAUGUUGUAUUAUCUCUUUCUUCAGCAAAUUUUUAACUUGUAUGUAUUCUUAUACAUUGACUGGUUUAAUGUUUCAUUUUGGGCAGGUGAAAAGAGUCACUCGAGUUACAGCAGAUAAUGCAGACCAGUCUCACAUUAGGGAAUGCAUUGAAUCAAUGAACAGCUCAAGGUAUCAAAUCAUUAUAGAAAACUUGCAUGGGAUGCCUUU